GACGAACGCUGGCGGCGUGCUUAACACAUGCAAGUCGAACGAGAGCGUAGAGAAAGCUUGCUUUUUCUACAAUCUAGUGGCAAACGGGUGAGUAACGCGUAAACAACCUGCCCUACGGAUGGGGACAACAGCUGGAAACGGCUGCUAAUACCGAAUACGUUCCGAAAGUCGCAUGACUAUCGGAAGAAAGGAUGGCCUCUAUUUAUAAGCUAUCGCCGGAGGAGGGGUUUGCGUCUGAUUAGCUAGUUGGAGGGGUAACGGCCCACCAAGGCGACGAUCAGUAGCCGGUCUGAGAGGAUGAACGGCCACAUUGGAACUGAGACACGGUCCAGACUCCUACGGGAGGCAGCAGUGGGGAAUCUUCCGCAAUGGGCGAAAGACUGACGGAGCAACGCCGCGUGAGUGAAGACGGCCUUCGGGUUGUAAAGCUCUGUUAUACGGGACGAAUAAUCUUGUGGUUAAUACCCAUGAGAAGUGACGGUACCGUAAGAGAAAGCCACGGCUAACUACGUG
Molecule: ribosomal RNA, 513 nt
Filed under: uncultured bacterium
Lineage: Bacteria
Description: partial 16S ribosomal RNA
Rfam family: Bacterial small subunit ribosomal RNA
Source: RNAcentral